Molecule: ribosomal RNA, 421 nt
Filed under: uncultured bacterium
Lineage: Bacteria
Description: partial 16S ribosomal RNA
Rfam family: Bacterial small subunit ribosomal RNA
Source: RNAcentral
AAUAUGGGACAAUGGGCGAAAGCCUGAUCCAGCCAUGCCGCGUGUUUGAAGAAGGUCUUCGGAUUGUAAAGCACUUUAAGUUGGGAGGAAGGGCAGUAAGUUAAUACCUUGCUGUUUUGACGUUACCGACAGAAUAAGCACCGGCUAACUUCGUGCCAUCAGCCGCGUUAAUACGAAGGGUGCAAGCGUUAAUCGGAAUUACUGGGCGUAAGGAGCGCGUAGGUGGUUCAGUAAGAAGGGUGGGAAAGCCCCGGGCUCAACCUGGGAACUGCUUUCAAAACUGGCAAGCUAGAGUAUGGCAGAGGGUGGUGGAAUUUCCUGUGUAGCGGUGAAAUGCGUAGAUAUAGGAAGGAACACCAGUGGCGAAGGCGACUACCUGGACUGAUACUGACACUGAGGUGCGAAAGCGUGGGGAGCAAAC